GUAUCUUCGCCUGUCACGUGAAAGACCGGGGUUCGAAUCCCCGUUGAAGAG
Molecule: transfer RNA, 51 nt
Filed under: Entamoeba histolytica
Lineage: Eukaryota; Evosea; Mastigamoebida; Endamoebidae
Also listed under: 1 other name
Description: partial tRNA-Asp
Source: RNAcentral